GACUUUUCUGAAGACAAUGAGCUAUCUCAGUUAAUUCAAUCAGUUACAGAUCAAACUCCGUGUUCUACUGUGUUCCCCAUUCUCACUACUGCACUUGAAUAGCACUUAA
Unclassified non-coding RNA from Pan paniscus (pygmy chimpanzee), 109 nucleotides. It matches the Rfam family "Y RNA". From Rfam's summary of the family: Y RNAs are components of the Ro ribonucleoprotein particle (Ro RNP), in association with Ro60 and La proteins. The Y RNAs and Ro60 and La proteins are well conserved, but the function of the Ro RNP is not known. In humans the RNA component can be one of four small RNAs -- hY1, hY3, hY4 and hY5. NCBI's taxonomy places the organism in Eukaryota, Metazoa, Chordata, Mammalia, Primates, Hominidae. The record is from Ensembl.